CCCCAUAAACACACACCAAAAUUUUUUCACACAUUUUUUCACUUUUUGCACACACACACACAGAAUUUUGACUUAGCUUUUGCUCUACUCAGCAUAGAUAACAAGGUUAAAAGAGCUUCCUAUCUCAUGACCCCAUUGAUUUUCCACCCCUUUAAGCCUAAAUUGAAUCAAUUAUAGUGUGCUACCUUCACUUUGGAAGUUCUUUUCUUGAAUUGAAUCUCUAAAUUUGCAUUGGUCAAGGGAAAUAAAAA
This 251-nucleotide long non-coding RNA is filed under the name Manihot esculenta (cassava). RNAcentral's name for it is "long non-coding RNA (MESC_LNC011605)". The record is from RNAcentral. Lineage: Eukaryota; Viridiplantae; Streptophyta; Magnoliopsida; Malpighiales; Euphorbiaceae.